CCGGCCCGGUAUCCCUUUUUUAUAUCUUCNAAAAGUUGACCUCGGAUCAGGUAGGAAUACCCGCUGAACUUAAGCAUAUCAAUAAGCGGAGNNAAAGAAACCAACAGGGAUUACCCUAGUAACGGCGAGUGAAGCGGUAACAGCUCAAAUUUGAANUCUGGUCUUCACGGGCCCGAGUUGUAAUUUGUAGAGGAUGUUUCGGNCAAGGCCCAGGCUUAAGUUUCUUGGAACAGAACGUCAUAGAGGGUGAGAGUCCCGUCUAGAGCCGCCGGCCGCGUCCAUGUGAAACUCNUUCGACGAGUCGAGUUGUUUGGGAAUGCAGCUCAAAAUGGGUGGUAAAUUUCAUCUAAAGCUAAAUAUUGGCCAGAGACCGAUAGCGCACAAGUAGAGUGAUCGAAAGAUGAAAAGCACUUUGAAAAGAGAGUUAAACAGUAUGUGAAAUUGUUGAAAGGGAAGCGCUUGUAACCAGACUUGUGUGUGUCGGUUCCCCCGGUCUUUUGACCAGGUUAUUCCGUCACGUCCAGGCCAGCAUCGGUUCGGGUGGUCGGUUAAAGGUCUUGGGCAUGUAUCUACCUCCGGGUCGACUUAUAGCCCAAGGCGUCAUGCGGCCUACCUGGACCGAGGAACGCGCUUUUGCUCGGAUGCUGGCGUAAUGGCUAUAAGCGGCC
RNAcentral lists this ribosomal RNA (668 nucleotides) under uncultured fungus. Its description in RNAcentral is "eukaryotic LSU rRNA". It matches the Rfam family "Eukaryotic large subunit ribosomal RNA", at positions 1 to 649 of the family's 3401-position model. Lineage: Eukaryota; Fungi. The record is from RNAcentral.